This 422-nucleotide ribosomal RNA is filed under the name uncultured prokaryote. RNAcentral's name for it is "bacterial SSU rRNA". It matches the Rfam family "Bacterial small subunit ribosomal RNA", at positions 355 to 774 of the family's 1533-position model. The record is from RNAcentral.
UGAGGAAUAUUGGUCAAUGGUCGCAAGACUGAACCAGCCAAGUAGCGUGAGGGAAGACUGCCCUAUGGGUUGUAAACCUCUUUUAUCUGGGAAUAAAGUGAGCCACGAGUGGCUUAUUGCAGGUACCAGAAGAAUAAGGACCGGCUAAUUCAGUGCCAGCAGCCGCGGUAAUACGGAAGGUCCAGGCGUUAUCCGGAUGUAUUGGGUUUAAAGGGAGCGUAGGCCGCUUGGUAAGCGGGCAGUGAAAUGCAGAGGCGCAACCUCUGACUUGCUGUUCGAACUGCCAGGCUUGAGUACGCACGAGGUAGGCGGAAUUUGUGGUGUAGCGGUGAAAUGCUUAGAUAUCACAAAGAACUCCAAUUGCGAAGGCAGCUUACCGGAGCGCAACUGACGCUGAAGCUCGAAAGUGCGGGUAUCGAACA